AUGAUAACAGCCGAGCCCGUGGGGGGUGUGGUCGCCCCGGGCACCAACAGCAGCGCGCGACGGCGUAUGUGUGGAGGCGCUAGCAGGGCAAGCGUUUCUGUAGCUGGAUUGGAGAGGGGGAGAACAGGGUGGGGGCGAACGAAUGGUCGAGAACGCUUGCGGAAGAGGAAGGGGAUAAGCGAAAAGGAAAGAGGGGCAAGCGUUUCUGUAGCUGGAUUGGAGAGGGGGAGAACAGGGUGGGGGCGAACGAAUGGUCGAGAACACUUGCGGAAGAGGAAGGGGAUAAGCGAAAAGGAAAGAGGGCGGAGCGUGGGAUCAAUAGAACGUGUGUCGACCGGAUACAAACAUUACCCUAUCGAAAAGCAAGUGCCAACCGGAUACAAACAUUACCCUAUCGAAAAGCAAGUGCCAAAAAGCGUCUUAUAUCAUGGAAUGGAUGGAGUAGAUGAGUAG
RNAcentral lists this ribosomal RNA (453 nucleotides) under Triticum aestivum (bread wheat). RNAcentral describes it as "partial small subunit ribosomal RNA". The record is from RNAcentral. Lineage: Eukaryota; Viridiplantae; Streptophyta; Magnoliopsida; Poales; Poaceae.